GUGAUCAUUCAUAUUUGCAAAUUACUCUUAAUCAUUCAACAGAUUUCAGAAAUGGAGAUUGGCUUAGCAGUUGGUUGUGCAUUUCUCUCUUCAGCUUUGAAUGUUCUCUUUGACAGGCUUGCUCCUAACGGUGAUCUGCUGAAGAUGUUUAAGAGGGACAAGUGUGAUGUUCGGCUCUUAAAGAAGCUGAAAAUGACUUGCGUAGUCUUCAGAUUGUGCUAAGUGAUGCAGAGAAUAAGCAGGCAUCAAAUCCAUCAGUGAGAGACUGGCUUAAUGAGCUUCGAGAUGCUGUGGACUCUGCUGAAAACUUAAUAGAAGAAGUUAAUUAUGAAGUGUUGAGGCUUAAGGUGGAAGGUCAGCAUCAAAAUCUUGGAGAAACAAGCAAUCAAAAGGUAAGUGACUGCAACCUGUGCUUGAGUGAUGAUUUUUUUCUUAACAUAAAGGAGAAACUGGAAGACACCAUUGAAACAUUGGAGGAGUUGGAAAAGCAAAUUGGCCGCCUUGAUCUAACAAAAUACCUUGAUUCGGGUAAACAAGAAACAAGGGAAUCUUCAACCUCUGUUGUUGAUGAAUCUGAUAUCUUAGGUAGGCAGAAAGAAAUAGAGGAAUUGAUUGACCGUUUGUUGUCUGAGGAUGGAAAUGGAAAAUAUCCGACUGUAGUUCCUGUUGUUGGAAUGGGGGGUGUGGGCAAGACAACACUUGCUAAAGCUGUUUACAAUGAUGAGAAAGUAAAAAACCAUUUUGGUUUCAAAGCUUGGAUCUGUGUGUCUGAACCAUAUGAUAUUCUCAGAAUAACAAAGGAGUUACUUCAAGAAUUUGGCUUAAUGGUUGAUAACAAUCUGAAUCAACUUCAAGUCAAAUUGAAGGAAGGCUUAAAGGGAAAAAAGUUUCUUAUUGUCCUAGAUGAUGUGUGGAAUGAAAACUAUAAAGAGUGGGAUGACUUGAGAAAUCUUUUUGUACAAGGAGAUGUAGGAAGUAAGAUCAUUGUGACGACACGUAAGGAGAGUGUUGCCUUGAUGAUGGGUUGUGGAGCAAUCAAUGUGGGGACUCUGUCUAGUGAAGUUUCUUGGGAUCUAUUCAAGCGACAUUCAUUUGAAAAUAGGGAUCCUGAGGAACAUCCAGAACUUGAAGAGAUUGGAAUACAAAUUGCACACAAGUGCAAAGGUUUGCCUUUAGCUCUAAAGGCACUUGCUGGUAUUUUACGCUCCAAAUCAGAGGUGGAUGAGUGGAGAGACAUUUUAAGAAGUGAAAUAUGGGAGCUGCAAAGUUGUUCGAAUGGAAUCUUACCAGCGUUGAUGUUGAGCUACAAUGAUCUUCGUCCACAUUUGAAGCAAUGUUUUGCUUUUUGUGCAAUAUAUCCAAAAGAUCAUCUAUUUAGCAAAGAACAAGUUAUUCACCUGUGGAUUGCUAAUGGUCUUGUACAGCAGUUGCAUUCAGCUAACCAAUACUUUCUCGAGUUGAGAUCGAGAUCAUUGUUUGAAAAGGUCCGAGAGUCUUCUGAAUGGAAUCCGGGGGAAUUCUUAAUGCAUGACCUUAUCAAUGAUUUGGCCCAAAUUGCAUCUUCAAAUCUGUGUAACAGGUUGGAAGAGAACCAAGGAUCUCAUAUGUUGGAACAAACUCGACACUUGUCAUAUUCAAUGGGUGAUGGUGAUUUUGGUAAACUGAAAAACCCUCAACAAUUCGGAGCAAUUGAGGACAUUGCUUCCCAUCAAUAUCCAGCUGCGUUGGUGCCAUCUUAGCAAGAGGGUGCUGCAUGACAUAUUGCCAAGACUAACAUCUUUGAGGGCACUAUCAUUGUCUCAUUAUAAGAAUGAGGAGUUUCCAAAUGACUUGUUUAUUAAAUUAAAGCACCUAAGGUUUUUGGACUUUUCUUGGACAAAUAUAAAAAAGUUGCCAGAUUCAAUUUGUGUACUGUACAACUUAGAGACACUUCUCUUGUCAUAUUGUAGUUAUCUUAAGGAGCUACCUCUGCAUAUGGAAAAAUUGAUCAACUUGCGUCACCUUGACAUUAGCGAAGCUUAUUUGACGACACCCCUACAUCUAAGCAAGUUGAAAAGUCUCGAUGUGCUAGUGGGAGCCAAGUUUCUUCUAAGUGGUCGUAGUGGUUCAAGAAUGGAAGAUUUGGGUAAACUGCAUAACUUGUAUGGAUCUCUAUCAAUUCUAGGGUUGCAACAUGUGGUAGAUAGAAGGGAAUCUCUGAAGGCAAACAUGAGGGAAAAGAAACAUGUUGAAAGGUUAUCUUUGGAGUGGAGCGGAAGUAAUGCUGACAAUUCACAAACAGAAAGAGACAUACUUGAUGAGCUACAACCAAAUACAAACAUAGAAGAACUCCGAAUCACUGGCUAUAGAGGAACAAAAUUUCCAAAUUGGCUAGGUGAUCCUUCAUUUCAUAAGCUAAUAGACUUGUCUCUUAGCAACGGCAACGACUGUGAUUCCUUGCCAGCGCUAGGACAGCUUCCUUGUUUAAAAUUCCUUACCAUUAUAGGGAUGCAUCAAGUAACAGAGGUGACUGAAGAGUUCUAUGGUAGUUCAUCCUCCACAAAGCCAUUUAAUUCUCUUGAGCAGCUUGAAUUCGCAGAGAUGCUGGCGUGGAAGCAGUGGGGUUACUGGGGAAGGGAGAGUUCCCUGUACUUGAGGAACUUUCGAUUGAUGGUUGCCCAAAGUUGAUUGGGAAGUUGCCUGAAAAUCUUUCUUCUCUGAGAAGAUUGAGGAUAUCAAAAUGCCCUGAACUCAGUUUGGAGACACCUAUCCAACUUUCAAAUUUAAAAGAGUUUGAAGUUACUAAUUCUCCUAAGGUUGGAGUUGUUUUUGAUGAUGCUCAAUUGUUUACGUCUCAACUUGAGGGAAUGAAACAGAUUGUUAAAUUAGAUAUUACUGAUUGUAAGUCUCUUACCUCCUUACCUAUUAGCAUUCUGCCGAGUACCUUGAAGAGAAUAAGAAUCUCUGGUUGUAGGGAACUGAAAUGGAGGCGCCGAUCAAUGCUAUUGUCUGAAGGAAUUGUCUCUAGUAGGAUGUGAUUCACCUGAGUUUCUCCCAAGAGCACUCUCUUUGAGUGUAAGAAGUUGCAACAACAUACUAGGCUUUUGAUUCCUACUGCCACUGAAACAGUCAGUAUUAGAGAUUGUGAUAAUCUUGAAAUACUUUCAGUGGCAUGUGGGACUCAGAUGACAUCAUUGCAUAUUUACAACUGCAAGAAGCUGAAGUCGCUACCAGAACAUAUGCAACAACUCCUUCCAUCUCUUAAGGAACUGAACUGGUUAAUUGUUCACAAAUAGAGUCCUUCCUGAAGGAGGAUUGCCCUUCAAUUUACAACAACUUGGAUCUCCUGUUGUAAGAAAUUGGUGAAUGGCCGAAAAGAGUGGUAUUUACAGAGACUCCCCUGUCUCAGAGAUUUAACUAUUCACCAUGAUGGUAGCGACGAAGUGGUUCUUGCUGAUGAAAAAAUGGAGUUGCCUUGCUCUAUCGAAGGCUAGCAUAUGAAUCUGAAAACAUUAAGCAGCCAACUUCUCAAAAGCCUCACCUCUCUUGAGUACCUAUUGCUAAUAAUUACCUCAAAUGCAGUCAUUGCUGGAAGAAGGGCUUCCUUCCUCUCUUUCUGAGCUAAAAUUAUUAGCAAUCAUGAUCUUCAUUCACUACCGACCGAAGGUCUUCAGCGUCUCACGUGGCUUCAACAUCUAGAGAUUCGGGAUGCCAUAGUCUCCAAUCUCUUCCCGAAUCAGGAUGCUCUCUUCCCUCUCUAAGUGACCAUCCAACAUUGCUCUAAUCUCCAAUCUCUUCCCGAAUCGGGGUUGCCCUCCUCCCUCUCUGAGCUGCGCAUUUGGAAUUGCUCUAAUGUCCAAUCUCUUCCCGAAUCGGGGAUGCCCCCUUCUAUCUCUAAUCUAUAUAUUUCCAAAUGCCCAUUGCUCAAACCACUCUUAGAAUUUAACAAGGGGGAUUACUGGCCAAAAAUUGCUCAUAUUCCCACCAUAUAUAUUGAUUUGGAAUCCCAGUAG
Solanum verrucosum is the source of this 3992-nucleotide RNA transcript. It is a transcript of the gene named putative disease resistance RPP13-like protein 1, with no coding region annotated. Lineage: Eukaryota; Viridiplantae; Streptophyta; Magnoliopsida; Solanales; Solanaceae. The record is from RefSeq and is a predicted model, not a curated record. The transcript has 2 exons.